AAAAAUGUAGGAUGGGGAGGGGGAUGUCAAUGGGGGGCCAGCACCAAAAGGAAAAAGAGAGUAACGAAAAGUGCACGAAAUAUGCGCCCUGUUAUUGCUAAUACGCAUUCCAGCUGCAGUUUUCGGCUCAGCCCAGUGGACUCACAAUGGAGUGGAAUGCCACUGUCGUCGCUGCCGGCAUGUCAAAGUGAAUAACUCAAUAGCCAUAUUGGGUGUCCACCUGUGCGAGAGCGGGAGAGGGAGAGGCAGAGAGCGGGCGAGUGGCAGCUUCAUCCAUCAGCAGGGGGGCCAGGGGCAGGAUUGGGGUCGCAGAAGGGGCGAGCACUUGCAAUUCCACGUAAAUCCACUCGAUGAGAGCACUUACAUGAGCUUGCGUUUGUCACAAACACACUCACACACACUUGGCAGCUCGCACACACUCACAGAAAUGGCCGUUAAAAUUCUUGACAACCCGAUAUGGUAAUGAUAAUUUCGCACAUUGAGCCGCAAUUUACACUUCUGCGGAAUAAAACAAAAGCAAAGUCCGAGGCAAUCGCCAAUCCACAGCCAUUUACAGAGCCACUCGAUUUAUACGGGUAUCCAGUAUCCAGCUAUCCAAGUACCUAGGUAUCCAAGUAUCCAGCUAUACAAGUAUCGAAGUAUUCAACUAUCCAGUGAAGUUCUGCUGCGCGUAUUACCACCCAACCAGGUAAGCUUGGCCAUCAACUUUAGCCAUCAGCCAUCCGGGGAAUCCCAUUUGAUCCCGGGAAUGCAUCGGGGACACGCGCAGCGCAUAAUCUUUAAUUAGCAAUGACCACAAACGCCCAGCUGAGCAAUGCGAAAAUGCCAGCUGAGUGGAAAAGAAAAGCGAGUGAAAAACCAGAAAACAGCAGCAGUUAACAAACAAAUAUGCAAACCAUUAUGACACACGCGGUGCUACACAGAGAACAAUAGGAUCUUGAAAGCUAACGAGCACAUAAUACACUUGAAUACAUAUGAAAAACAUAAAUAGUACUUCAAAGAUGAGUUAAGAGUUCAAUGGGCAUAAGGUUGCAAGGUUCUUGUACUGAUGAAAGGGUAUGAUGACCUCUAUUUUCUAUUACUUAGUUUUUUUAGUUAUGGUUAAUAUUCGACCACUUCUAUAUGCUCAUUUUCCGUCAGUGUACGCUCUUAAGCAGACAAGCACUUGAAAACCGCAUUUAAAAUAACUCGCGGGACCUGAGAAACCUCCGCGUGGAUGGAAGUAGAGCACCUUGGGAG
RNAcentral lists this long non-coding RNA (1239 nucleotides) under Drosophila melanogaster (fruit fly). Its description in RNAcentral is "long non-coding RNA:CR46336 (Dmel_CR46336)". The record is from RNAcentral. Lineage: Eukaryota; Metazoa; Arthropoda; Insecta; Diptera; Drosophilidae.